AGCAGCCGCGGUAAUUCCAGCUCCAAUAGCGUAUAUUAAAGUUGUUGCAGUUAAAAAGCUCGUAGUUGAACUUCGGGGUUUACCCAUUGGUCAGGCUUAAUUGUCUGUACUGGUGAGAUGAAUCUCUACCUUCUGAGGAACUUUCAUGCCAUUUAUUUGGUGUGAUGGGAAAUCAGGACUGUUACUUUGAAAAAAUUAGAGUGUUUAAAGCAGGCUAACGUCUGAAUACAUUAGCAUGGAAUAAUGAAGUAGGACGGAUUGAUUCUAUUUCGUUGGUUUCUAGGAUCACCGUAAUGAUUAAUAGGGAUAGUUGGGCUGUUUAAAGCAGGCUAACGUCUGAAUACAUUAGCAUGGAAUAAUGAAAUAGGACGGAUUGAUUCUAUUUCGUUGGUUUCUAGGAUCACCGUA
This 408-nucleotide ribosomal RNA is filed under the name uncultured Diversispora. RNAcentral's name for it is "SSU rRNA". It matches the Rfam family "Eukaryotic small subunit ribosomal RNA", at positions 569 to 955 of the family's 1831-position model. The record is from RNAcentral. Lineage: Eukaryota; Fungi; Glomeromycota; Glomeromycetes; Diversisporales; Diversisporaceae.